GAUGAAGAACGUAGCGAAAUGCGAUAGCUAAUGUGAAUUGCAGAAUUCAGUGAAUCAUCGAGUCUUUGAACGCACAUUGCGCCCCCUGGUAUUCCGGGGGGCAUGCCUGUCCGAGCGUCAUUGCUGCCCUCAAGCACGGCUUGUGUGUUGGGCUCCGUCCCCCCGGGGACGGGCCCGAAAGGCAGCGGCGGCACCGAGUCCGGUCCUCGAGCGUAUGGGGCUUUGUCACCCGCUCUGUAGGCCCGGCCGGCGCCAGCCGACAACCCAUCAUCCUUUUCAGGUUGACCUCGGAUCAGGUAGGGAUACCCGCUGAACUUAAGCAUAUCAAUAAGCGGAGGA
This 339-nucleotide unclassified non-coding RNA is filed under the name soil metagenome. RNAcentral's name for it is "partial contains 5.8S ribosomal RNA, internal transcribed spacer 2, and large subunit ribosomal RNA". The stretch from base 1 to 120 matches the Rfam family "5.8S ribosomal RNA", at positions 35 to 154 of the family's 154-position model. The record is from RNAcentral.